AUACCCUGGUAGUCCACGCAGUAAACGAUGAUAACUGGUUGUCGGCGAUAAAAUGUCGGUGACUAAGCGAAAGCGAUAAGUUAUCCACCUGGGGAGUACGUUCGCAAGAAUGAAACUCAAAGGAAUUGACGGGGGCCCGCACAAGCGGAGGAACAUGUGGUUUAAUUCGAUGAUACGCGAGGAACCUUACCCGGGCUUGAAAGUUACUGACGAUUCUGGAAACAGGAUUUCCCUUCGGGGCAGGAAACUAGGUGCUGCAUGGUUGUCGUCAGCUCGUGCCGUGAGGUGUCGGGUUAAGUCCCAUAACGAGCGCAACCCCUACCGUUAGUUGCCAUCAGGUAAAGCUGGGCACUCUGGCGGGACUGCCGGUGUAAGCCGAGAGGAAGGUGGGGAUGACGUCAAAUCAGCACGGCCCUUACGUCCGGGGCUACACACGUGUUACAAUGGCAGGUACAGAGGGCAGCUACCCAGCAAUGGGAUGCGAAUCUCGAAAGCCUGUCUCAGUUCGGAUUGGAGGCUGAAACCCGCCUCCAUGAAGUUGGAUUCGCUAGUAAUCGCGCAUCAGCCAUGGCGCGGUGAAUACGUUCCCG
RNAcentral lists this ribosomal RNA (590 nucleotides) under uncultured bacterium. Its description in RNAcentral is "bacterial SSU rRNA". It matches the Rfam family "Bacterial small subunit ribosomal RNA", at positions 782 to 1376 of the family's 1533-position model. The record is from RNAcentral.